Molecule: ribosomal RNA, 497 nt
Filed under: uncultured bacterium
Lineage: Bacteria
Description: partial 16S ribosomal RNA
Rfam family: Bacterial small subunit ribosomal RNA
Source: RNAcentral
GAUGAACGCUGGCGGCGUGCCUAAUACAUGCAAGUCGAGCGAACAGACGAGGAGCUUGCUCCUCUGACGUUAGCGGCGGACGGGUGAGUAACACGUGGAUAACCUACCUAUAAGACUGGGAUAGCUUCGGGAAACCGGAGCUAAUACCGGAUAAUAUAUUGAACCGCAUGGUUCAAUAGUGAAAGACGGUUUUGCUGUCACUUAUAGAUGGAUCCGCGCCGCAUUAGCUAGUUGGUAAGGUAACGGCUUACCAAGGCGACGAUGCGUAGCCGACCUGAGAGGGUGAUCGGCCACACUGGAACUGAGACACGGUCCAGACUCCUACGGGAGGCAGCAGUAGGGAAUCUUCCGCAAUGGGCGAAAGCCUGACGGAGCAACGCCGCGUGAGUGAUGAAGGUCUUCGGAUCGUAAAGCUCUGUUAUUAGGGAAGAACAAAUGUGUAAGUAACUAUGCACGUCUUGACGGUACCUAAUCAGAAAGCCACGGCUAACUACGUG